AGUCGCUGUCUGAAGUUAGACAGCAAAAUGUCAUUCUUGUGACCAAAAUAAGGCUUUGCUUUCUCUGUAAAUACAGCCUACUUGAAUUCAGAUAUGCAAUCCAACUGCAGCCGACCUUCAGCACGACAUUCACUGCAGUAGUGCUGCUUACAUCGCCUGAAUUCAGCCUGACUGCUUUAUGUCACGUUUUGAUAAUGUCCCAUCAGAUAUGCAAGGAAGAUCUUAAUUUCCUUUUAUGUGUGGAUCUCAUGAAAAGCAGAAGCAUCCAGGCUUCUGGGGAUAUGACACACUACUGGUUUUAUCAGUGGAAUUGUAUCAGCCUGCAUCCAACCUCGUGGUUCUCUCCUAUUUCCACUGCCUGCGUUCCCACUGAUGGAUGAAAUUCCCUUUCCUAAACUGCCUCUCACCUUUGCUGCUUUUUACAGGGACUGGAAGUUGCUGCUUCAGGAAAUAGCAGAUGUCAGAUGCUGUAAGCCUGAAUGCUUUCUUCCUGCCUUCUCUUGGGUUUUUCCAGCAUCAUGGACUCACGGGGAUAGCAAGUGAUGAGCUACACGUCUCUCUGCUCACUCACCCACGAGGCAUAUAAGAGAAGUUAUCUUUCAUGAGAAAAAUAAGGACAGGCUACGCCGAAAGAGGUCCCCACAUAAAUUACGGGCAGUAGUCACAGCCUGCUAUUCAACUCCAGCACCAUAAUUUUUGUUUAUUGUCCAGAUUACGGUCUAACCAACUAGAGGCAACAGCAGCUGAGAUCAGACCUGCAGAACUGCAGUGAGGAAGUGCCAGGAUGCAGUGCUCCUCCCUCCUGAAAGACGCGUUCAUGUAAGGAGACGCUUACAGGAGGUCAAUGUGGAAUCUGCUGGCACAAUUUACUGAGCCACUCAAAUGCUCAUACUUUUAACUUUAGGAUUUAUACAGCGGUGGAAGAUUACCUGUCUCUUUUGGAACUGCCAUAUGCUUUUAGUUGCCUAAGUGAAUGAGACAACCCCAGAUUGUCUGUAAGGACGUGGAUCCUAGUGGGCAUGGUGGAGAUGGGUUGAUGAUUGCAUUAAUGUUUUAGUAGAGGGUAUUUAAGUAAAAGCAGUGUCAGAUUUUAUGUGCAAAUACAGCAGAAGAGGGGGUUCUUCUACGCUGCACGGUUCAGCAGUACAGCAGGAUGUGGGUGCGUGGUCAAGUUCAUCCUACCAUUGCUUCUUCCCCUACAGGUUUCUUUGUUCCUAACUUGCCCACAGCCUGCUUUCUCUCUUCCAGCACACUCUCUGCUUCUGCCUUUAAUUUUGCAGGUUGCAGGUUUUUAAUCAAAUAACUCUAUUUUAGACCAUCUGACCUGUGGGUUAUAUAUAUAGAUAUAUGGUAUCAUUGGGAUGCUUUCUAGGGUGUUAGAAAAGGAAGAACAUAUUGGAGUGCCAGCAAAACUUGCUGAAGGUCAUAGACAUGCAGUGAAUCAGAAUCAAAUGUUUGGAAGUUUUUUAACUGACUGCUCUGCCUGUCAGUGCCUAACGUAAUGUCCUGCUCAUUCAGCUGCUAUUUAAGUUACUUGCAAACAAAAAUGAUGGAGAAAGGAGAAAAGAAGGCUCCCAGGAGCAAAUGUAGCUUAUAACCUGAAAUGUAAUUCUUACUGAUUUAACCAAGUUUGAUUUUUUUUUUAAUUUUAAUUGAAAAUUGAAGCUCAAUAAUGCAGGAAAAAGAAUCUCCUCAGAGAAGAUGUUUGGACAAACUUUGACAUAGAAAAAUCCCUUCUCAAACCAAUGAACUUGCUCUUGGAAAUGAUGAGAACAUAAAUAUGGAUCCCCAACUAACAAACGUUUGUUUGUUGUUUUCCAGUUUUGGAGUACUGUCCUGGGAGAACCUAAGCAGACAGGAACUUUGUAAGGGUAUUUCUCUAUUGCUUGUCUGAUGUUACUGCGCCAGUCAUUUCCCUUACUGUAGAGAAAUGCUAACAUAAACAGCACAGUCUAUUCAAAUGCGCCUUUGCCUUUUAUUACGGUUAGAACAAAGUUUGUAAAGCAUUAUGUAAUAAUUAUUGCAAUCUAAGAACAAUCCCCAUUCUAUAGAGGCAGACACUGAGAAAGGCUCCUCUGCUGCGGGCUGAGUUCUGCUCACCAGCUGACGGUAGGGCUCCUACAUUUUGCAGGCUGAGAAAGACCUUCUCAAAGCGUUACACAGAGCGAACUGUGCUGGUAUUCGCACAGCUUUCACGUCCAGCUGCCAUCUUGUGGCUGCCCAACGUAACUUCUAUCCACAAUAGGACUGACAUUAUUACAAGGCUUUGCGUAAAACUGCGAGCUUAGGUUACAUCCACAGCAAUGGCACACAUACCCGAGGUAUCCGUGCAUGCACUUUCCGGUGCUUAUGUAGCUAUUCGUUUGUGACUUAUUGUUUGGAGCGAGUUAUUUAUCUUGAAAUGGCCUGUUGCAGUAAGUAGUCAUGGUCACUGUUAAAGGCUAGCACACCUACUAGCAAGAGUGUUAGCGCUUCUAGUUUUGCCUCUGAAAGCAGUCUUUGUUUUAAUGUACAUGAAAUAACUUAUGCUGAAUAUCACAUAAGAGUUCUGAAGUCUCAGAAUUUAUUUAAAAAGAAAAUCAAAGGAUGUCUGAGGUAGAAGCUACUUAAACUGAUUUAAUCUAGUUCAGCCAGCUGUUCACAAUAGCACAGUUAAUACCCAAUAACAUUCUUAGUGUAGUUGCAAUAUAUUGAUGCCAAACAUAUAUACAAUCUGAUUUGAAAUGUGGUAUUUAAAAUGCUUUAUUCCUCCUGCAAGAUGUGUAGACCUUCUAAAUGGAACUUUUACUGGUUUAAAUAAGGAAGCAAACUCUACUGCAAGCUACAAUCUGAUGUGCACAAAGGAGACAGCACUUAAUGCAUGCAAAGGUUCAGAAGUAUUCAUACUGAGACAGGUGUACACAACUCAGAGGUCACCUGUUUACAAAAACUCAACCAAGUAAUGACAGAGAAAAUCCCUCUUGUAGCACCAAACUUGUCAACUAUUCUACUUGAUAGCAGUAUGAAUAAUGCAGGAAGAGAAAAUAUUCUUGAGAUGGAUCUGGCAAAUUCUAUCCCACGGAACACAACAAAGAAAGAUCUCUACUUUGAAACAUAUUCAGCUCAGCUAUUCCAAGAAAAGGAUAAACAUUACUAUUAGUGCUACAUAUCACCCAGGCUCUAACAGUAGAAGGCCAUUUUGUAUUCUUCCCUUGUCUUGUCUGCAUUCAGGCAAAGAAAACAGUUACCAUUAGGACUCACCCCUGGCACUUCAGCACAGAUCACAAACUAUGCACCUUGAAAACCAGCGACAGAGUCAUCAUGGAAUCAUUUGAGUUGGAAGGGGCAAAGCAGCCAUUGCAUAGGUUCCCUCCUGAGAUAUCCUGCUGCUGUGACUUUUGUUGAGGUUUGUUAACUGGACUUGGAAUGACAAUGACUCACUUUCCUCUGUCAUAACCUGUUGACUGAAGUCAGUCGCUCCUGCAGACCAUGGUUUUAUUCCUCUCAUGGAAAAAGCCAGCUGGAUUAAAAGAUCACAUCAACCCACUGCUUGCAGCAAUCACCAAGAUUGGUACAACAAAUUCUAGUUUUGGACCUCAGAGGGGAGGAGUGCAAUGUGCAACAUGGUAAAUACUAUGCAAGUCAGAUGACACCUUAUUUCCUUGACUUUAGAAGACAGGGAAACAGAUUAUGAGUUUUUGGGAUCACACAAAGGAAAAGCAGCUGUUAUUAAUCUUUCCAGCUAAGUGAAUUAAGAAAUAUUUCUCACACAGGACCUCAAGUCUUAGAAAUUUUACAUUACACAUAUAAAUUAUUCUAUUUUUACUUGCAAACAGUCAUGCAGCCUUAAAAAAAAAGGCAGUGAUAGCAGCACUUUGGAGAGGUAGGCUUAAAGUGUUUGGUAAAUGGAAAAACAUUAAUACCUUACAUCCAUGUUGUUCUCUGUGUAUGUCUGCAGCUCAGCGUGAAGUUAAACCAGACAGAAGAGAUCUCAAGCUGAUUGUUUUUGAAGUCAUGGUUCUGCUGACCUGCAAAGGAAAAUAGAGCUGCUCACGGCCAUCUUUUGCUGACUCAUACAAAGAGGACCAUCCCCUGCCCCUUGCUCCUUUCUGCUAUCUAUACAGCGCCCUUAUCGCAGCUGGGAUACUUCCUGUAGCAAAGGAACUUCUGCACUAGAAUUUUUUGAAGUUAAUUUGUAGACAAUUAAUCUGAGGUGCUGGAAUGGAGCUUCUGAGAGAUUAGUCUUUCCAGUAGAGAACAAAACAAAGCUAUAAAUACCACUCAGUAGUUGUCACCAACAUGUAUCACCAUAGUCCCAAACAGGGGAAGACAAGUGCAUGCUCACAAAAUCCUCAUUUCCCAAACUUUAAAAAUAAUGCAUUAAUGGACUCAAAGCGUACACAAAAGAAUUUUUACACUGAUUAGUCUAAAAUGUAGAGCUGGGGAGUUGGAUUUGAUGACCUUUAGGAGUCCCUUCCAAAUGAUUCCAUGAUUCUGUAUUUAUACCAGCUGAAGUGCUAGCCAAACCUUAAAUAUUUACAUGGUAUCAUUUCAGUUCUGCACGAUCUUGCAAACACUUUCAUGUACCGCAGCUUCAGUCACCUGUGCCAUCCACGUGAGCUAAGUGCAUACACAAAUACCUGUGGGGCUGGUUUGGUAGGAAAAGACCUAACCAUCAUCAAGGCUGGCAUAGAGAAUUCAAAUUUCUUCAUUGUCAAUUAUGUGAUAAUGAUGAUAUACACCUAUUAGGUAUGCUUUCCCCUAGCAAGUGCUUUCCUCUUUUUCUAAGUCUGCUGCAUUUUUUUUUUCAUGCACACUUUUCUCAUUCUUUUUCUCCUACCCUCUCUGCCUCCUUUGUAAAAUAUUAUUCUAGAGCUCAAAAGGACUCAGAAUUUCUGUUUUUUUCCUCAUCAAAAGAAAUAAACCCCUGUUUGCCUCACUUGGCACACCCUUUAGUGAGGACAUGGUUGACCUGACAGCUGGUAUGUCAGCAAAGUUAAACAAGACUCAUGGAUUUUGAAGGUAAGUCCACCAUAAAUUAAGCUGCCUGAUGAGGUCUGCAGAGAACAUAUUUAAUGAGUUGUGUUAUAUUAGAGGUCUAGUGUAGCUGCAAGAGUAUGUUAACUGUAAUUCAGUGUGCGUUUAAAAAGUGGGCUGCUGAUAACUGCAUUUUUCUUAAUCCCAGUGUGAGAAAAAUGGUGGAUAAAAGUUCAGACAUAAUAUUCUAGUUCUUGCAUUGAUAAGAAAUAAUUUGUAAUGGGUAUUUUGCUGUUUCCUACCUUUAUUUCUCUUCUUCCAAAGAUACAUCCCAGGUAAUAUUUAGAGAUCUUUAUCCCCAAACUGCAAUCUGCACAGGUCUGUACAGUUGGCCUUUGUUGUUCCACAGAAGUACGAGGUGCAGAGGACAAGAGGGAAUGGCCUUAAGUUGUGCCAUAGGAGAUUCAGGUUGGAUAUUAGGAAAAGGGAUGUGGGCAUGGGGGAUUGCACUUAGUGGUCUUAGAGCUCUUUUCCAACCUUCUUAAUGAUUCUACGAUCAGUUGAAGGAACUGCGUACUCUUCCAACCAGGCUGAAUUAAAUGGCAGCUAGUGAUUUAGAAUAAAAACUUCACUCUUUGAAAUAUGAUAACCUUCCACAGUAUUUCGACACGUUUCCAGCUGUUGGUCUUGAACUUUCCACACAGCAACAAUACCCACAUGAGCAGAAAACACAGCUUCCCGUCAGAAGGAAUGUGGCAGCACUCCCGAAAGGUCUGUACAGCUUGUUCGUUCUUUAGGUUUCAGAGAAAAGUGCUUGUGUGUGCUAACAGAAUGACUACCAAAAUUAUCUCCUUUUCCUUUAUUGACUAAAAAAGGCUUUAUAUAUAUAUAUAUAUAUAUUUCUUUGUCCAGUAGGAAAAUUCAGUAAAAUGUUACCUGGGGGGAAGAGGGGGUAAGGGUAGGCACUGAACUAGCUAUUGUUUUCUAUUCUAUGCUGGCAACAUUUUAGCUGCAAAACAGUAUUCAGCCCUAAGCAUGGACUGAGCAGAACCCAGAAAAGAAGGCUGAUCAGCAGUGAAGAAACUUGACAAGUAAGGGCAAGCUGAUGCAAUGGUGUUUGUUUGGUCUAGCAAAGCUGAGGCGAAGAAAGAUGGAACAGUCUGGAACAGAGGUAGUGAACAUCCAGUGAUGAAACAGGAUCUGGCACCAACCAGCUGUCUGCCCUUCAUGACAAAGCAGUGGCUCUCAGGCAGAUGUUCAGGAAACAUAAAAGACAGUCCUCCUCCCCUCCCACACCCAGAGCAGAGCGUAUUCAUGGACCAUUUUCUACCCAACCAGGAGAGCUUCAGCAGACAAAAUUAACUUAAACAGCAGUGGUCCGCUAAGCAUCUUCCCUCCAUGUGCCCAAUGGGUAUCUAGGGAUCUGUUUAUGCAAACUACAAAUCACAUACUUAACUUUUUGCUGAAUGACUAUAAAUAACUACACUGUAACUUAAGCAGUAUUUACCUCACCACAAUCUACCUACGAAGUCAUGUCUGUUUUCAGCUCAGCUAUCUGGAAGACAGAAUAGAGAACACCCUCAAUUUUCUCUUUAUUGGCUAUUGGGUAGGAUGGGGAGAGAAUUCUCAACAUUAAAAUAUUUUCCUCUCUCUUUUUUGCAUGAAAUCAUAGAAGAAUCAAGAAAAAGUGACUACAUACCAGGUUAAAAUGCAAAUGAAAUCAUAGGAAAAAUAAAAGAAUACAUGAUUUGUGUUGAACAGGUGAGAUCUCACAAUGAAAUAUGAUUGUUUUCCGAGGGACUGCAUGUCUUAGACAAGUUGCCCUGUACCCUGAAUGAGACAAGAACUUCAGCUCAGGGAAGCUUAAACAAAGAGAAUAAAUACUUCUGUCUUCUUCCUUCUGCUCUGACUUUGUGGAGCUGGUUCAAAUGCAGUCCUCAUAGCUCCAGCUAAGACCUGUUCUUCCAGCUAAAAUCAAUUGUAUCCUGGAAUUCAAGGCUAUAGGUAAAUUUAUUUUACAGAAACCUCUCACUUAGGUACAGAAUUAACUAAACAGAAUUAAAUAUUUAAGAGAAGGGAAAUGCCAAUGCUGGUUUAAAUUACCAUGUAUUUCAUUUAAAUUAUCGUGUAUUUCAAACCCAAAAUUUGACAGUCUGUGGUUUUGUUUUUCUGUAUGAAAAAAAGUAAUGGGGCAGAAGUUUGAAAAGCUCAGCUGCUAUACUUUGCUUGAGUGUGUUUAAUAAGUAAAUAAAUUAGCAGUAGCAACUCUUGUUCUCUCUGCCCUAACUGGCCACCUGGAAGUGAGAGCUGUCACUUCUUGCCAGGUCUCCAUAUGGUUGUCCUCAGUAGCAAGAGAAGAUGCAUGCAUAGCCAGUGGGCCUUUUUUGUUGGCCAAAGGAAGGCUUUUUAAAGAAAAAAAAAUUACCUGUAUCUCACAGCUGUAAUUUUACU
Long non-coding RNA from Tympanuchus pallidicinctus (lesser prairie-chicken), 7407 nucleotides. RefSeq lists it as uncharacterized. The record is from RefSeq and is a predicted model, not a curated record. Lineage: Eukaryota; Metazoa; Chordata; Aves; Galliformes; Phasianidae. The transcript is spliced from 7 exons.